This 28-nucleotide non-coding RNA is filed under the name Rattus norvegicus (Norway rat). Lineage: Eukaryota; Metazoa; Chordata; Mammalia; Rodentia; Muridae. The record is from RNAcentral.
UACUAUGACUCGAUUCCCUUCAGCCUGG